AAGCUCCCAACUCAUUCUCGGCUAGUUCCGGUAGCAUUCCCGACGAACCUUCGGACUUCCGUCGAACUCUCGAACUCGCAACAAAUCCUUCGCGCUUGACUCCGACACUUUGUUUCGCUUUAUGUCUUCAUCAUUAUCAUAGUUAAUCCUGCACAAUUAAAACAAAACUUCGAUCGAGACAAUUAAUCAUAAGCAAUUAACCAAGUUGUCCGGCAUGUCAUUGGUCCCUC
RNAcentral lists this long non-coding RNA (230 nucleotides) under Musa acuminata (dwarf banana). Its description in RNAcentral is "long non-coding RNA (MACU_LNC009337)". Lineage: Eukaryota; Viridiplantae; Streptophyta; Magnoliopsida; Zingiberales; Musaceae. The record is from RNAcentral.